CCUACGGGAGGCAGCAGUGGGGAAUAUUGCACAAUGGGGGAAACCCUGAUGCAGCGACGCCGCGUGAGUGAAGCAGUAAUUCGUUAUGUAAAGCUCUAUCAGCAGGGAAGAAAAUGACGGUACCUGAGUAAGAAGCCCCGGCUAACUACGUGCCAGCAGCCGCGGUAAUACGUAGGGGGCAAGCGUUAUCCGGAUUUACUGGGUGUAAAGGGAGCGUAGACGGCAGUGCAAGUCUGGAGUGGAAGGCGGGGGCGCAACCCCCGGACUGCUCUGGAAACAGUACGGCUGGAGUGCAGGAGAGGUAAGUGGAAUUCCUAGUGUAGCGGUGAAAUGCGUAGAUAUUAGGAGGAACACCAGUGGCGAAGGCGGCUUACUGGACUGUAACUGACGUUGAGGCUCGAAAGCGUGGGGAGCAAACAGGAUUAGAUACCCCGGUAGUC
This 440-nucleotide ribosomal RNA is filed under the name uncultured bacterium. Its description in RNAcentral is "partial 16S ribosomal RNA". It matches the Rfam family "Bacterial small subunit ribosomal RNA", at positions 338 to 795 of the family's 1533-position model. The record is from RNAcentral.